AAUGGAUGGGACAAAGGAUCUCGAUCCCGUGAGGGUGAGCUAAUUCCAAAAAUCCGUCCUCAGUUCGGAUUGUAGGCUGCAACUCGCCUGCAUGAAG
Molecule: ribosomal RNA, 97 nt
Filed under: Vigna radiata var. radiata (mung bean)
Lineage: Eukaryota; Viridiplantae; Streptophyta; Magnoliopsida; Fabales; Fabaceae
Description: rRNA SSU_rRNA_eukarya
Rfam family: Bacterial small subunit ribosomal RNA
Source: RNAcentral